Molecule: unclassified non-coding RNA, 179 nt
Filed under: soil metagenome
Description: partial internal transcribed spacer 1
Source: RNAcentral
CACAAUAAAAUAUGAAGGCCCUGUGCUUCGCGGCCAGUUGCGGAGCUGAAUUAUUUAUUACCCAUUGUCUUUUGCGCACUUGUUGUUUCCUGGGCGGGUUCGCCCGCCACCAGGACCAACAUCAUAAACCUUUUUUAUGCAGUUUCAAUCAGCGUCAGUAUAAACAAUGUAAUACAUUA